This is a long non-coding RNA of Maylandia zebra (zebra mbuna), 1244 nucleotides long. RefSeq lists it as uncharacterized. The record is from RefSeq and is a predicted model, not a curated record. NCBI's taxonomy places the organism in Eukaryota, Metazoa, Chordata, Actinopteri, Cichliformes, Cichlidae.
UGUUAAAGUCGUGAAAUAAUUUGUUUUUAAAUAUCUUGUUCAUGGUUUUAUUAUUACAGUUUUUAUCCGUCAAAGGAAUCUGGUUUAGAUGUAAAGAAGGUAGACUAAUUUGUGCCUUAGAGUAAUACAAAUAACCUUGAAUCAAACUCAACAGAGGUAAGGGGAUUGCCUUACAAACCUUGUCAUAUUCUCUAAGGGAACACUGAAUGUUAAACUUCGCAUUAAAAACACCCACUGAGAGAAACUGACCCCUUUCAUCAAGUAAGUCUGUUAUAAAGAUUAUGUUUUUUUCAAACCACUCUUUAAUAAACAAUGACUUCUUAUUAAUUGUAAUUGUUCUGUUAUUCCACAAGGUGGAGCAAUGUGGUGAAAAGUUAUGGGCAAACACCAUCUUCCAAUAAGACAAGACCUGCUUAUGAUAUUCUGACAGUUUCACAGGCAACUUCAAUAUAUCAAAAUCACAUUUCAGGAGAAAAUCCAACCCUCCCACCUUUUUGAAAAUAUUUUUUGGGAUAUGGAACCAUAUGGAGUCAGGUUUCAAGAGGAAGGCUUUUAUCCAGUUUAUUUUAAAUACUCCAACUAUUGAUUGAAAAUCAAUUGACUUUAUACCACCUUUAGCGUAAUCUUUGACAAGUUGUGAUUUUUUAAUGUAAUGUGUUUUAUUGCGCCAAAUGAAUUGAUAGAUUAUAGAGUUAAUCUUUUUAAUGCUUUUCGGGGUAAUGUAUAGUGAGUAUGCUGGAUAAACCAUCUUUGAGACGCCCUCUGAUUUGGAUAAUAGAUUGCGUCCAAAAAUUGUAAUAUCUCUCGUCAACCAAUGAUUUAGUGUUUUGGACAUGCCAUCAAUUUUGUCUUUUAGGUUUUUUGAUUCUCUACACUGUAAAAAAAAUCCGUAAAAAUACAGUACAAUCUACUAUAUAAACGUGAAGGAAUUUUCCGUAUUAGUCAUUUACAGGUAUUUUUCUGUAUUUCUCAACUACUGCAAUGCAUUGUGGGAAAAAGAACCUGAAAAGGAGGGAAAAGUAAGCGCAAGAGCAGCCAUUAGGCUUCUUUCAGGCUUCAUCUGGAUUUUGGAUUCUGAAGUUGGAGAAACUGCCUUCAAAUUUCUGUGUGCAGAGCAAUGGCCAAGAAAAGGAAAGACUUCCCCGAGUGGAAAAAAAAGAUGAAGAUACAAGCUGGUGAUGAUCCAGAGCAGCUGGUCUCAGGAAAUGAAGAAAAACCCUGAUCACCUUCUCUACAAACACAAG